GGGGUUGUGGCUCAGCGGUAGAGCACUCACCUAGCAUGUGUGAGGCCCUGGGUUCGAUCCUCAGCACCA
Molecule: transfer RNA, 69 nt
Filed under: Marmota marmota marmota (Alpine marmot)
Lineage: Eukaryota; Metazoa; Chordata; Mammalia; Rodentia; Sciuridae
Also listed under: 3 other names
Rfam family: tRNA
About the family: Transfer RNA (tRNA) molecules are approximately 80 nucleotides in length. Their secondary structure includes four short double-helical elements and three loops (D, anti-codon, and T loops).
Source: Rfam by way of RNAcentral